Molecule: long non-coding RNA, 473 nt
Organism: Daphnia pulicaria
Lineage: Eukaryota; Metazoa; Arthropoda; Branchiopoda; Diplostraca; Daphniidae
Exons: 3
Source: RefSeq, a predicted model, not a curated record
UGGUUUAAGUCAAAUUCUCUUCAUUAUAUUUCCCGUACUCUUUCUCCAUUGUCUUGUCUGCUAUUUAAUGGAAGUCUAAAACCACGCGAGUGACACUUCUCAUUUUGUUAUCUCGGAACAUAAUUCUACUCUGUGUGUGUUCUAAACUUCUGUCAAUCAGUUUUAUAUUGAUUUGACUGUCUGUCAGUCUAUGCAUAAUCUGUCCAGUGAGUGUUUUGGCUACCCAACUCAUCUGGUCUUGCUCUUUUGCACAUUUAUCUGUGGUUUAUGGUCUGGGUGGCAUCUCAGCAUUCUACUCGUGCCAUUUCAGGUAUUAAUUCCUAUAGUUUCAUUCCGUGCUUUAUUGUUAACACCUUUAUUAUCCUGCAGAUACCACUGGUCAAUCCCCUUUGUAAUUCAUACUCAUUUCGUGUAAGAAUUGUCAUCAUAAUAUACCACGUAAAGUAACGAGGCUCCUUACAAGCAUAGCGUCG